This 400-nucleotide ribosomal RNA is filed under the name uncultured bacterium. RNAcentral describes it as "bacterial SSU rRNA". It matches the Rfam family "Bacterial small subunit ribosomal RNA", at positions 957 to 1355 of the family's 1533-position model. The record is from RNAcentral.
UUACGGGAAGAACCUUACCAAAUUUUGACAUCCUUUGACACCUCUAGAGAAAGAGUUUUCCCCUUCGGGGGACAAAGUGACAGGUGGUGCAUGGUUGUCGUCAGUUCGUUUCGUGAGAUGUUGGGUUAAGUCCCGCAAGGAGGGCAACCCUUAAGCUUAGUUGCCAUCAUUAAGUUGGGCACUCUAAGGUGACUGCCGGUGACAAACCGGAGGAAGGUGGGGAUGACGUCAAAUCAUCAUGCCCCUUAUGAUUUGGGCUACACACGUGCUACAAUGGACAAUACAAAGGGCAGCGAACCCGCGAGGUCAAGCAAAUCCCAUAAAGUCGUUCUCAGUUCGGAUUGUAGUCUGCAACUCGACUACAUGAAGUCUGGAAUCGCUAGUAAUCGUAGAUCCGGGC